UGAGACUCUUAAUCUCAGGGUCGUGGGU
This 28-nucleotide non-coding RNA is filed under the name Drosophila erecta. The record is from RNAcentral. RNAcentral also lists the same sequence under 9 other names. Lineage: Eukaryota; Metazoa; Arthropoda; Insecta; Diptera; Drosophilidae.